AAUCGUUGCACCGAGCGGUUCAUCUUUUGAUCUGCGGAUAAAUCCCAGCGCAUCUCUCACUUCUGGCGGCGUUCUAAGACAGAAGCAAAGAUUUACAAAUAUUUUAUUUUGUCAGAAUUUAUGUUUUUGCUCUCGAAAGAUAUGUGUGCUUGUUCGAAGCCAGCCCCUAACUUGGCCGACACACACGCGCACGAGCACACGCACACAAGUGCAGGGAAGGCGAGCAGGAACGAUCGCGUUCGAUUUUCGUCUGGUUGUUGUCGAGUUGUCGGCAUUUGACGUGCGUCAUGGUAUGGGGAAGCCGGCGAGGUGGUUUUCUACGAUUGUGUGCGUGCGAGGGUAGAAAAAAUCACUGAAGGAAUGGUUACCAAGUUCGAGCGUUCGACUUUUCCGAUUGGCAACAAAUGUAAUACGAUUAUUUAAAUAUACUUAGAUAGACACAUAUUUGUGGGAAAACUAA
Molecule: long non-coding RNA, 460 nt
Organism: Drosophila biarmipes
Lineage: Eukaryota; Metazoa; Arthropoda; Insecta; Diptera; Drosophilidae
Exons: 2
Source: RefSeq, a predicted model, not a curated record